Cavia porcellus (domestic guinea pig) is the source of this 370-nucleotide regulatory RNA element. It matches the Rfam family "Mason-Pfizer monkey virus packaging signal". From Rfam's summary of the family: The packaging signal is located in the 5' UTR and is required for specific RNA encapsidation. The record is from Rfam. NCBI's taxonomy places the organism in Eukaryota, Metazoa, Chordata, Mammalia, Rodentia, Caviidae.
UGGUGCCCAGCGUGGGGGCUCCUGGCACAGGGGAGUCAACAAGGAAGCCGUUCGAGAAAGCUGGCUGAGAGUGAAAGCAAAUUGAACCAAAGACCGUGGCGAGAAGUGAGCAAACUAAAUCAAAGAUCGAAGCUAAAAGCAAAAGCACAUUAAAUCAAGGCUGAGGCCUGCGCGGAUGACUACCCAACGUCCCACCUGAGUCAUGGUGAGUGAACGAUGACCCCAUUCCCUUUCCCGGACAUGAGUCAAACAUUGAGCAAACAUGAAUUGUUCGUGGGAGGCCUUAUAAAGGCAUUAAAGACAAGAGGGGUAAGGGUUAGAACAAAAGAAUUAUUGCAGUAUUUUCAAUUUAUUCAUAAGGUUUGCCCUU